This 260-nucleotide ribosomal RNA is filed under the name uncultured bacterium. RNAcentral's name for it is "partial 16S ribosomal RNA". It matches the Rfam family "Bacterial small subunit ribosomal RNA", at positions 524 to 776 of the family's 1533-position model. The record is from RNAcentral.
UACGUAGGGUGCGAGCGUUGUCCGGAAUUAUUGGGCGUAAAGAGCUACGUAGGCGGUCUGUCGCGUCGAUCGUGAAAACUUGGGGCUUCAACCCUGAGCUUGGCGGUCGAUACGGGCAUGACUGGAAGUUCGGCAGGGGAGACUGGAAUUCCGUGGUGUAGCGGUGGAAUGCGCAGAUAUCAGGAGGAACACCGGUGGCGAAGGCGGGUCGUCUGGGCAGUAACUGACGCUGAGGAGCGAAAGCGUGGGGAGCGAACAGG